Molecule: ribosomal RNA, 342 nt
Filed under: Spodoptera exempta
Lineage: Eukaryota; Metazoa; Arthropoda; Insecta; Lepidoptera; Noctuidae
Description: partial 12S ribosomal RNA
Source: RNAcentral
UUAAACUAGGGAUUAGAUACCCUAUUAUUAAAAUUUAAAUAUAAAAUACUAAAAUAGUAGAUAAUUAUUUAUUGAAACUUAAAUAAUUUGGCGGUAUUUUAGUUCAUUUAGAGGAAUCUGUUUAAUAAUUGAUAAUCCACGAAUAAAUUUACUUAAAUUUUUUUAUUUUGUAUAUCGUUGUUAAAAAAAUAUUUUUUAAUAAUAAAUAAUAUUUAGAAAUUUAAAUAAAAAAUUAAAUCAGAUCAAGAUGCAGAUUAUAAUUAAGAAUAUAAUGGAUUACAAUAAAUUUAUUUAAAUGAAUAUUAAUUUGUAAAAUUUAAUUGAAAGUGGAUUUAAAUGUAA